CACAUGCAAGUCGGGCGGCAGCGCGGGGGCAACCCUGGCGGCGAGCGGCGAACGGGUGAGUAAUACAUCGGAACGUACCCAGUCGCGGGGGAUAGCCCGGCGAAAGCCGGAUUAAUACCGCAUACGCCCUGAUGGGGGAAAGCGGGGGACCGGAAACGGCCUCGCGCGAUUGGAGCGGCCGAUGGCGGAUUAGCUAGUUGGUGGGGUAAAGGCCUACCAAGGCGACGAUCCGUAGCUGGUCUGAGAGGAUGAUCAGCCACACUGGAACUGAGACACGGUCCAGACUCCUACGGGAGGCAGCAGUGGGGAAUUUUGGACAAUGGGCGCAAGCCU
Molecule: ribosomal RNA, 333 nt
Filed under: uncultured bacterium
Lineage: Bacteria
Description: bacterial SSU rRNA
Rfam family: Bacterial small subunit ribosomal RNA
Source: RNAcentral